This 863-nucleotide long non-coding RNA is filed under the name Homo sapiens (human). RNAcentral describes it as "HSALNT0341543". Lineage: Eukaryota; Metazoa; Chordata; Mammalia; Primates; Hominidae. The record is from RNAcentral.
AGCGCACAGCACACACGCUGUUGUGAGAGUUCCGUGCUCAUUUCCUUGUGGAUACACCAGGAACUCACUCUGCUGUGACCCUUCAGUACACCUCAUGUUAGGAUUAGAGACAUCUGGGUCAUAUCAGCUGCCACUGUCAUCUUCUAGUCCCUCAAAGUGUCAGCUAAAGAAACAGGCUCAGAGGAUGUUAUUUGAUUGGACUAUGUUGUAUCUCUGGAGAGCACAGCUGAGAUCAGACUGUGUGUGUGUAACUCCACUAGACUACGAGGGUGCUUCUCAUAAAGGGUUGCAAGAUCAUAGUUCUCGGGGUGUUUAAAGGCAACACCUUCCGGAAGCCCCUGCACUACCACAGCCGACUGGUCUCGCAGCAUCUUCUCAUAUGGUACAGGUACCACUGUGGAUUUGCCUAAAGCUUUCCCUGGGGCAGAUGAAAAGCGGAUGAACAUCAUUCAAUGUGCAGGCCUACCCAACUAUGGAAUGAUGGAACAGAAGGCCUCACCAUGGACUCGAGAGCUGACAUGAGGAAUGUCACCACCAUCCUGCUCUCCGAGGACUCCUCAUCUUCAACGGGGAGGGUGGACAUUGCAACUUGGGCCAUGAUCCCUGUGCAGGAGAAGUAAGAAGAAAGUGAGUGGUAGAAAUCUGGUGUCCUGAACCCACAGCCAAAGCUGUGAGGGCCCCUCACCGGCUGCCUAAUUUACAGUUUUCUUGCUCUAGAGACAAAAUAAGGCUCAGAAACUAAGUAUUUGACUUGCCCAAACCCUCAUAAGAUAAAGAAUCUAUCCCCUAAUUUUCUAUAUAUUGUUAUUUCCAGAAAAUUGGGUCAAUAUCACACCCCAAAUAAAUCCAGGUGGCACCCAGAA